RNAcentral lists this ribosomal RNA (868 nucleotides) under uncultured archaeon. Its description in RNAcentral is "bacterial SSU rRNA". It matches the Rfam family "Archaeal small subunit ribosomal RNA", at positions 1 to 878 of the family's 1478-position model. The record is from RNAcentral.
CUCCGGUUGAUCCUGCGGGACCUGACUGCUAUCGGAUUGGUACUAAGCCAUGCGAGUCGUUGUAGCAAUACAAGGCGGACGGCUCAGUAACACGUAGUCAACCUAACCUAUGGACGUGGAUAACCUCGGGAAACUGAGAAUAAACCGCGAUAGAUCAUUAUGCCUGGAAUGGCUUAUGGUUCAAACAAUUUAUUGCCGUAGGAUGGGACUGCGGCCUAUCAGCUUGUUGGUGAGGUAAUGGCCCACCAAGGCUAUAACAGGUACGGGCUCUGAGAGGAGAAGCCCGGAGAUGGGUACUGAGACACGGACCCAGGCCCUAUGGGGCGCAGCAGGCGAGAAACCUUAGCAAUGUGCGAAAGCACGACUAGGUUAAUCCGAGUGAUUUCUGUUGAAGAAAUCUUUUGUCAGUCGUAAAACCACAGACGAAUAAGGGGUGGGCAAGUCUGGUGUCAGCCGCCGCGGUAAUACCAGCACCUCGAGUGGUCAGGAGGUUUAUUGGGCCUAAAGCAUCCGUAGCCGGCUACGCAAGUCUCCGGUUAAAUCCAGCUGCUCAACAGAUGGGCUGCCGGAGAUACUACAUAGCUAGGGAGCGGGAGAGGUAGACGGUAUUCUGUGGGUAGGGGUAAAAUCCACUGAUCCAUAGAGGACCACCAGUGGCGAAGGCGGUCUACCAGAACGCGUUCGACGGUGAGGGAUGAAAGCUGGGGGAGCAAACCGGAUUAGAUACCCGGGUAGUCCCAGCUGUAAACGAUGCAAACUCGGUGAUGCAUUGGCUUAUGGCCAAUGCAGUGCCGCAGGGAAGCCGUUAAGUUUGCCGCCUGGGAAGUACGGACGCAAGUCUGAAACUUAAAGGAUUGGCGGGGGAGCA